GACGAACCGUGCGAACGUUGUUCGGAAUCACUGGGCUUAAAGGGCGCGUAGGCGGGCUCCCAAGUCAGGGGUGAAAACUUUCGGCUCAACCGGAAAAGUGCUUCUGAUACUGGGAGUCUCGAGGGAGGUAGGGGUCGGUGGAACUGGUGGUGGAGCGGUGAAAUGCGUAGAGAUCGGGAGGAACACCAGAGGCGAAGGCGUCGACCUGGACAGACACUGACACUCAACUGCGAAAGCGUGGGGAGCAAACAGG
This 253-nucleotide ribosomal RNA is filed under the name uncultured bacterium. Its description in RNAcentral is "partial 16S ribosomal RNA". It matches the Rfam family "Bacterial small subunit ribosomal RNA", at positions 524 to 776 of the family's 1533-position model. The record is from RNAcentral.